RNAcentral lists this ribosomal RNA (1320 nucleotides) under Triticum aestivum (bread wheat). Its description in RNAcentral is "partial small subunit ribosomal RNA". Lineage: Eukaryota; Viridiplantae; Streptophyta; Magnoliopsida; Poales; Poaceae. The record is from RNAcentral.
AUGUCCUCCCUCGCGGCCGCCGCCGCCGCCGCCGCAGCCGCCGCCUCCACCUGGGUAAAAAGCCUCUCCCGCAUCAUCUCCUCCUCCACGCCAGCCGUAAAACCACCCAAACGCAAUCCCAAGACCAAGCCCGCGCCGCCCGCCGCCGAUGCCGACUCCAUCGCGGAUCAGAAGCUCACGAAGCCCCUUGGCGGUGUCCUCAAGGCCCUCAUCAGGGAGCAGGACCCUGAUAAGCUGGUCUCCAAGUUCGUCGAAGCCUCGUCCGCAUCGUCGCGCUUCCGCGACGGGCGCCGCGUGUACGAUGUAGCGGUGAGCCGCCUCACCUCCUUGGGCCGCAAGGACGGCAUCGAGGCCAUCAUCGACGCGCAGAAGCCCUUCCUCGAGACCUCGACCGAGGGAUUUGCCACGCGCCUCAUCCGCCUCUACGGCAGUGCCUCCAUGCCAUCCCACGCGGCCGCAACCUUCCAUCAACUUCCUGCGCGGCAUAAGUCCACCAUGACAUUCAACGCCGUCCUUGCCGCGUACGCCAAAGCCGGAGAUGUUGACGCGCUCACUGCUGCAUUCCAGGAGAUCCCAGCCGCCCACCCCUCCAUUGUUCCCGACUUAUACUCUUACAACACGCUCAUCCGCACAUUGUGCCAGAAGUCCAAACUCUCAGCCGCUCUUGAUGCUGUUCAUCUCAUGAAGAAGCACGGUGUUUCACCUGACAUUAUUACUUUCAACUCGCUCUUGGAUGGGUUUCACAACAGUGGCCGUAAUGAUGAAGCCGAGGCAGUAUGGGAAAUGAUUAAGGAGAGGAAUAUGGAGCCAGACGCAAAGUGCUACAAUGCAAAGCUGCGUGGUUUGGUUGCACAUGGGAGGAUUGAUGAUGCAGCUGCUGUGCUUGAGAGGUUGGAGAAGGACGGGCCAAAAACCAAUAUAGUAUCCUACAAUGAGUUGAUUCUAGGAUAUUGCAAAGCAGGGAGGUUCCAGGAGGCCAAGAAGGUGUAUGGUAAUUUGAUGAAGAACGAGUGUGUCCCAAAUAAGGGGACAUAUGAGACUCUCGUGCCACACCUUGUGCAGGCUGGAGAGCUGGAUUGUGCACUGAGGUACUGUUAUGAGAUCUUUGCUAAUAAAAAGUGCUGUGGAGUCGAGUGUGGUGUGCUGCAGGAUGUAGUGAAUGCAUUGGUAAAUGCAUCGAGGGUGAAGGAGGCUACCAAGCUUGUUGAGCUCGGGCAGAAGUCCAACUAUCAUCGGAAGUACUAUCAUCUGAAAUUGAUGAGGAAGAAUCAAUAUCAGAAGAAAAGGAGUGUGAAAGUGGAAGAUGGGACUGAAAAAUAA